Molecule: long non-coding RNA, 2809 nt
Filed under: Sus scrofa (pig)
Lineage: Eukaryota; Metazoa; Chordata; Mammalia; Artiodactyla; Suidae
Description: lncRNA (ENSSSCG00005004471.1)
Source: RNAcentral
GGGCGGGUCGAGGAGCUCGGCGCCCCGCUUUCUCCACCCCGGCGCGAACCCACACGCCCCGAGCUGCCCGCGCGCCCCUUGCCUGCGACUCCGCUCCGCUCCCCCGCGCGCCUCGCCUGCGACUCCGCUCCGCUCCCGCGCGGCUUCUCCACGCCCUCGGCCGCCGCUCCUCGGUUCGCCCGGGUGAGAAAAUCCCAGGGCGGAGCCUGCGGAGGAGGCGGAGGAAAGGCGGCGGAUCCAGGAUGGGCAGGAGGUGCAGCACUUGGUCCGGGAUUCAGAAAGGAGUUCCCGUCGUGGCGCAGUGGAGCCCCCGUCCCUGGAGGUCGAAGCUCUAGCUCCUCGGAAAGGAUGCGCCUCUUUCUGAGGGCAGGAGCCAGGCUUUGGGCACGUCUCUUGGGAGGGGAGACUCCAGACGUCUAUCCCGCUGCCCACCUGGUCGUUGAGCCCACUUUGCCUGCAUCAGAUUACGGCUCAGCAUCACCACGCAUGGCCUGGCAGCGGGCAGACUUUCACCGGAAUUUGGACAAGCAGCUUCCCCGGGGUGGGGGCCACCUUCUGGCGCCACGUGUCUGCUGGCACCAGGGCCCCUCUGCGUGCACACCCUCUGGGGGCCAACGGGCCUGAAAGUCCGCAUUUGAUGCCUAGGGCCGGGGGCACAGUCCCAGAAUCCCCGUCACCCAUUUACUCUGUCCUUCGCAAGCCUGGGUCGGGGCGGUCCUGCAGGCAGGGCCGCAGAGGGCGUCAGAGGGUCUGUUCCUUCCAUCGUCAUCCUUUGGGGAAGAGUUAAGCUUUUCCUCCUCUUCGGUGGGGGGAAGGAAGUGUUUUCUGACUCCCUUCCUGGGGCUUGUGGUGGCUUUCAGAUUUUUAACUCCAGGAAAUGCGCUUCCUUCCUCUUCUUUGGCCCUGCCCCUGCCCAGAGGUCCCAGCCUCCAACCCGUGAUCACACCUUUUUUUUUAGCGAAGAUUUUUCCUCGGUUCUUUUUUUUUUUUUACUUUUCUUUUUCUUUUUAGACCCACAUCCCCAGCAUCUGGAGGUUCCCAGGCUAGGCAUCUAAUUGGAGCUGUAACUACUGGCCGCAUGCCACUCUCAUAGCAACACGGGAUCCGAGCUGCAUCCGCAACCUAUACCACAGCUCACGGCAACGCAGGAUCCUUAACCCACUGAGCGAGGCCAGGGAUCAAACCCGCGUCCUCAUGGAUGCUAGUCAGGUUCGUGAACCGCUGAGCCACAGAGGGGACUCUUUUUCCUCGGUUCUUUGCUGUUCCUUUCUGUUCUUGUUCUUCUAACUUCUCUCUGUGUUGGGGAUUGUUUAGAUUUUAAAUUUAAGCCGAAUUUGUUGUUUUCCUUCUGACAAGGCUGCGUUCGAGCAUCUCAUUACUUCGUCCUCCCCUGACCCGGCCUUCAAUACACUUGGGACCUUGCUGUCUUUGUAGCUUCGUUUUAGCAAGAAGCGUGUUUUCAGCAUUCAUCCUUCCUAAUCAAGACCAGAUACCUUUCCAUCCAUCUGAGCGCUCUCUUCCCUUCUUCGUAGAAGUGGCUGCUUUGUUGCCGCUUCCGUGAAGUAGCCUCACCCCUGCCUUUCUCGGGGUGGGGGGGCAUCUGAGCAGGAUCAAGAGUGAUGGGGUGGGGGAGCAGGUGGGGAUGAACCCGGCCCGCAGCUCCUUCCAGGGUUCUUGCCGGGGUGGCAGGUGACCCGCAGCAUCCAGACCUGCUCCCCGCAGAACCCUCACCUGCAAAGCUGUAGAUGUACCUGGGGUUGUUCUGGGCAGAAUUACAUUCAUUUCUACGUCCUUGACAUUUGUUGGUUGGUUUAAUCUCAUAAAAGAAAUGUUCGCAUGUUGAGAUACAGGGCAGAAACUCUGGCUGAUACAUGAGGUAACUUGAAUUUAUUUUUUUUUCCUUUUUAGGGCUACACCCGAGGCAUAUGGAAGUUCCCAGGCCAGGGGUCAAAUCGGAGCUGCAGCUGCUGGGCUGCACCACAGCCACAGCAACGUGGGAUCUGAGCCACGUCUGCAACCUACACCACAGCUACACUUUAACCCACUGAGAGAGGUCAGGGAUCGAACCUGCAUCCUCCUGGACACUAUGUUGGGUUCUUAACCCGCUGAGCCACAAUGGGAGCUCCUUGCUCUGGCUGAUACGUGAGUUAACUUGAAUUUACGCCAACUGAAGCAGCCUGUGUAUGGCCACUCAAACAUACGUUGCGCGUCUGCUUUAAUCAUGAGAGAAAUGGACACACUGACCAGACGUAAGGAAGUCAUGUUAAAAAUAAAGAUUAGGAGUUCCCGUCGUGGCGCCGCAGAAACGAAUCCGACGAGGAACCAUGAGGUUGCAGGUUUGAUCCCUGGCCUUGCUCAGUGGGUGAAGGACCUGGCGUUGCCGUGAGCUGUCGUGUAGUUUGCAGAUGCGGCUCAGACCCUGCAUUGCUGUGGCUGUGGCGUAGGCCGGCAGCUCCAGCUCCUCUGAUUAGACCCUCGUCUGGGAACCUCCAUAUGCCGCCAGUGUGUCCCUAAAAAGACCAAAAAAAAAAAAAGGGUCAAAGUGUUGUUUAAAUCACUUGCUUGGCUAUUUUGAUGGCAUCUGUCAAGUUUUAAAACGAUUUCCAGAGUUCCCACUGCGGCCAGCAGGUUAAGAACCUGACAUAGUGUCUGUGAGGAUUCUGGUUUUUGCAUCUUGUUUUGUUUUUCUUCUUCAAGCGAGCAAAAUCUUUAUUAAAGGAAAGCAAACAGCUCCCAGGGCUGCUGGGAGCAGGGAGAAGAGCCCCCCCCCCAUUGUCUUAUAGGGGUUUUUGUUCCUUAAAGAUGGGGU